UCACUGUCCGUUUCAGCACCCCGUGAAUUCUUAUCUUUCAUCAGAUAGUCGCAAAUGGCAUUGAUGUUUUCUUUCUUCACGCCAGGUUGGCCAACGCGCAAGGUAAUGAGCUAGCCUCUCCUCCUCCAUUCUGGUGACAUCGACAGUUGGUGUGUGCUUCUCUAAUGCCAGCUCCUGCUUCUUCCAGUUUCUCGUCCUCCUGGUUUUUGAC
Salvelinus sp. IW2-2015 is the source of this 211-nucleotide long non-coding RNA. RefSeq lists it as uncharacterized. Lineage: Eukaryota; Metazoa; Chordata; Actinopteri; Salmoniformes; Salmonidae. The record is from RefSeq and is a predicted model, not a curated record.